UGGGGAAUUUUGGACAAUGGGGGCAACCCUGAUCCAGCAAUGCCGCGUGUGUGAAGAAGGCCUUCGGGUUGUAAAGCACUUUUGUCCGGGAAGAAAUCCCCUGCCCUAAUACGGCGGGGGGAUGACGGUACCGGAAGAAUAAGCACCGGCUAACUACGUGCCAGCAGCCGCGGUAAUACGUAGGGUGCGAGCGUUAAUCGGAAUUACUGGGCGUAAAGCGUGCGCAGGCGGUGAUGUAAGACCGAUGUGAAAUCCCCGGGCUCAACCUGGGAACUGCAUUGGUGACUGCAUUGCUCGAGUAUGGCAGAGGGGGGUGGAAUUCCACGUGUAGCAGUGGAAUGCGUAGAGAUGUGGAGGAACACCGAUGGCGAAGGCAGCCCCCUGGGCCAAUACUGACGCUCAUGCACGAAAGCGUGGGGAGCAAACAGGAUUAGAUACCCUGGUAGUCCACGCCCUAAACGACGUCAACUGGUUGUCGGGCCUUCAUUGGCUUGGUAACGUAGCUAACGCGUGAAGUUGACCGCCUGGGGAGUACGGUCGCAAGAUUAAAACUCAAUGAAUUGACGGGGUCAUAGCUG
Molecule: ribosomal RNA, 578 nt
Filed under: uncultured bacterium
Lineage: Bacteria
Description: partial 16S ribosomal RNA
Rfam family: Bacterial small subunit ribosomal RNA
Source: RNAcentral